GCAUAUCAAUAAGCGGAGGAAAAGAAACCAACAGGGAUUGCCUCAGUAACGGCGAGUGAAGCGGCAACAGCUCAAAUUUGAAAUCUGGUCCUUGUGGCCCGAGUUGUAAUUUGCAGAGGAUGCUUUUGGCGCGGUGCCUUCCAAGUUCCCUGGAACGGGACGCCUUAGAGGGUGAGAGCCCCGUACGGUUGGACACCAAGCCUUUGUAAAGCUCCUUCGACGAGUCGAGUAGUUUGGGAAUGCUGCUCUAAAUGGGAGGUAUAUUUCUUCUAAAGCUAAAUACCGGCCAGAGACCGAUAGCGCACAAGUAGAGUGAUCGAAAGAUGAAAAGCACUUUGAAAAGAGGGUUAAACAGCACGUGAAAUUGUUAAAAGGGAAGCGCUUGUGACCAGACUUGCGCCCGGUGAAUCACCCAGCUCUCGCGGCUGGGGCACUUUGCCGGCUCAGGCCAGCAUCAGCUUGCCGUCGGGGACAAAAGCUUCGGGAACGUAGCUCUCUUCGGGGAGUGUUAUAGCCCGUUGCAUAAUACCCUUCGGCGGGCUGAGGUACGCGCUCCGCAAGGAUGCUGGCAUAAUGGUCAUCAGCGACCCGUCUUGAAACACGGACCAAGGAGUCAACCUUAUGUGCGAGUGUUCGGGUGUCAAACCCCUACGCGUAAUGAAAGUGAACGCAGGUGAGAGCUUCGGCGCAUCAUCGACCGAUCCUGAUGUUCUCGGAUGGAUUUGAGUAAGAGCAUAUAGGGUUGGACCCGAAAGAAGGUGAACUAUGCGUGUAUAGGGUGAAGCCAGAGGAAACUCUGGUGGAGGCUCGCAGCGGUUCUGACGUGCAAAUCGAUCGUCAAAUAUGCGCAUGGGGGCGAAAGACUAAUCGAACCUUCUAGUAGCUGGUUUCCGCCGA
RNAcentral lists this ribosomal RNA (897 nucleotides) under Colletotrichum gigasporum. RNAcentral's name for it is "LSU rRNA". It matches the Rfam family "Eukaryotic large subunit ribosomal RNA", at positions 38 to 964 of the family's 3401-position model. The record is from RNAcentral. Lineage: Eukaryota; Fungi; Ascomycota; Sordariomycetes; Glomerellales; Glomerellaceae.